This 103-nucleotide microRNA precursor is filed under the name Marmota monax (woodchuck). Lineage: Eukaryota; Metazoa; Chordata; Mammalia; Rodentia; Sciuridae. The record is from RNAcentral.
AGUGGGAUAACUGGGUCAAAUGGUGGUUUCAUUUCAAAUUUUGUGAGAAAUCUCCAUACCACUUUCCAGAGUGGAUGUACCAAUUUGCAGUCCCAUCAUCUAU